AGUCGUGUGAUGAAUAUAAAGUGAAUUAUAUUCUUUCGUCUUUUACUAAAGAAUACCGUGUAUCCUCACACUAUAUGGCAUAUGCUAAUUUUUGAAAGAGUCUUCCUUUCAGGUAUU
Cajanus cajan (pigeon pea) is the source of this 117-nucleotide non-coding RNA. The record is from Rfam. Lineage: Eukaryota; Viridiplantae; Streptophyta; Magnoliopsida; Fabales; Fabaceae.